This 301-nucleotide ribosomal RNA is filed under the name uncultured bacterium. RNAcentral's name for it is "partial 16S ribosomal RNA". It matches the Rfam family "Bacterial small subunit ribosomal RNA", at positions 509 to 809 of the family's 1533-position model. The record is from RNAcentral.
CAGUCGCCGCGGGAAUACGAAGGGGGCUAGCGUUGUUCGGAUUUACUGGGCGUAAAGGGUGCGUAGGCGGACUGAUAAGUCAGGGGUGAAAUCCCAAGGCUCAACCUUGGAACUGCCUUUGAUACUGUUUGUCUUGAGUUCGAGAGAGGUAAGUGGAACUGCGAGUGUAGAGGUGAAAUUCGUAGAUAUUCGCAAGAACACCAGUGGCGAAGGCGGCUUACUGGCUCGAAACUGACGCUGAGGCGCGAAAGCGUGGGGAGCAAACAGGAUUAGAUACCCGGGUAGUCCCUGUCUCUUAUAA